Molecule: ribosomal RNA, 254 nt
Filed under: uncultured bacterium
Lineage: Bacteria
Description: partial 16S ribosomal RNA
Rfam family: Bacterial small subunit ribosomal RNA
Source: RNAcentral
UACGGGGGGGGCAAGCGUUGUUCGGAAUUACUGGGCGUAAAGGGCGCGUAGGCGGCCAACUAAGUCGGAUGUGAAAUCCCCAGGCUUAACCUGGGAACUGCAUCCGAUACUGGAUGGCUUGAAUCCGGGAGAGGGAUGCAGAAUUCCAGGUGUAGCGGUGAAAUGCGUAGAUAUCUGGAGGAAUACCGGUGGCGAAGGCGGCAUCCUGGACCGGCAUUGACGCUGAGGGAGCGAAAGCCAGGGGAGCAAACGGG